RNAcentral lists this microRNA precursor (78 nucleotides) under Schistosoma curassoni. Its description in RNAcentral is "mir-3492 microRNA precursor family". It matches the Rfam family "mir-3492 microRNA precursor family". Lineage: Eukaryota; Metazoa; Platyhelminthes; Trematoda; Strigeidida; Schistosomatidae. The record is from Rfam by way of RNAcentral.
AGCCUUCUGUAUCCAUGCUGAGAUUUCGUCACACACCAGACCACAAGGGCUGAUGAGACUCCAUAGACACACUCAACU